UUUGAUCAUGGCUCAGGAUGAACGCUGGCGGCGUGCCUAAUACAUGCAAGUCGAGCGAAUGGAUUAAGAGCUUGCUCUUAUGAAGUUAGCGGCGGACGGGUGAGUAACACGUGGGUAACCUGCCCAUAAGACUGGGAUAACUCCGGGAAACCGGGGCUAAUACCGGAUAACAUUUUGAACCGCAUGGUUCGAAAUUGAAAGGCGGCUUCGGCUGUCACUUAUGGAUGGACCCGCGUCGCAUUAGCUAGUUGGUGAGGUAACGGCUCACCAAGGCAACGAUGCGUAGCCGACCUGAGAGGGUGAUCGGCCACACUGGGACUGAGACACGGCCCAGACUCCUACGGGAGGCAGCAGUAGGGAAUCUUCCGCAAUGGACGAAAGUCUGACGGAGCAACGCCGCGUGAGUGAUGAAGGCUUUCGGGUCGUAAAACUCUGUUGUUAGGGAAGAACAAGUGCUAGUUGAAUAAGCUGGCACCUUGACGGUACCUAACCAGAAAGCCACGGCUAACUACGUGCCAGCAGCCGCGGUAAUACGU
Molecule: ribosomal RNA, 536 nt
Filed under: uncultured bacterium
Lineage: Bacteria
Description: bacterial SSU rRNA
Rfam family: Bacterial small subunit ribosomal RNA
Source: RNAcentral